CGACGUGAGCAAUCUACCCAUAUCUGGGGGAUAACAGUUGGAAACGACUGAUAAUACCGCAUAAUAUGGUUUGAAGGCAUCUUCGAACCAUCAAAGAUUUAUCGGAUAUGGAUGAGCUCGCGUCUGAUUAGCUAGUUGGUGAGGUAACGGCUCACCAAGGCGACGAUCAGUAGCCGACCUGAGAGGGUGAUCGGCCACAUUGGAACUGAGACACGGUCCAAACUCCUACGGAAGGCAGCAG
RNAcentral lists this ribosomal RNA (241 nucleotides) under uncultured bacterium. Its description in RNAcentral is "partial 16S ribosomal RNA". It matches the Rfam family "Bacterial small subunit ribosomal RNA", at positions 113 to 354 of the family's 1533-position model. The record is from RNAcentral.